AUUGAACGCUGGCGGCAUGCUUUACACAUGCAAGUCGAACGGUAACAGCACUUCGGUGGCUGACGAGUGGCGAACGGGUGAGUAAUACAUCGGAACGUGCCUAGUAGUGGGGGAUAACUACUCGAAAGAGUAGCUAAUACCGCAUGAGAUCUAAGGAUGAAAGCAGGGGACCUUCGGGCCUUGCGCUACUAGAGCGGCUGAUGGCAGAUUAGGUAGUUGGUGGGAUAAAAGCUUACCAAGCCGACGAUCUGUAGCUGGUCUGAGAGGACGACCAGCCACACUGGGACUGAGACACGGCCCAGACUCCUACGGGAGGCAGCAGUGGGGAAUUUUGGACAAUGGGCGCAAGCCUGAUCCAGCAAUGCCGCGUGCAGGAUGAAGGGCUUCGGGUUGUAAACUGCUUUUGUACGGAACGAAAAGCCCUCUUCUAAUACAGGAGGGUCAUGACGGUACCGUAAGAAUAAGCACCGGCUAACUACGUG
This 482-nucleotide ribosomal RNA is filed under the name uncultured bacterium. RNAcentral's name for it is "partial 16S ribosomal RNA". It matches the Rfam family "Bacterial small subunit ribosomal RNA", at positions 30 to 507 of the family's 1533-position model. The record is from RNAcentral.